Molecule: ribosomal RNA, 301 nt
Filed under: uncultured bacterium
Lineage: Bacteria
Description: partial 16S ribosomal RNA
Rfam family: Bacterial small subunit ribosomal RNA
Source: RNAcentral
CAGCAGCCGCGGUAAAACGAAGGGUGCAAGCGUUGAUCGGAAUUACUGGGCGUAAAGCGUGCGUAGGCGGUUUGUUAAGUCUGCUGUGAAAUCCCCGGGCUCAACCUGGGAAUGGCAGUGGAUACUGGCAAGCUAGAGUGUGCCAGAGGAUGGUGGAAUUCCCGGUGUAGCGGUGAAAUGCGUAGAGAUCGGGAGGAACAUCAGUGGCGAAGGCGGCCAUCUGGGACAACACUGACGCUGAGGCACGAAAGCGUGGGGAACAAACAGGAUUAGAUACCCGGGUAGUCCCUGUCUCUUAUAC